This 253-nucleotide ribosomal RNA is filed under the name uncultured bacterium. RNAcentral describes it as "partial 16S ribosomal RNA". It matches the Rfam family "Bacterial small subunit ribosomal RNA", at positions 524 to 776 of the family's 1533-position model. The record is from RNAcentral.
UACGGAGGGUGCGAGCGUUAAUCGGAAUAACUGGGCGUAAAGGGCGCGCAGGCGGGUUUUCAAGUGAGAUGUGAAAUCCCCGGGCUUAACCUGGGAAUAGCAUUUGAGACUGGGAGGCUAGAGUACGUUAGGGAGGGGUAGAAUUCCACGUGUAGCGGUGAAAUGCGUAGAGAUGUGGAGGAAUACCGAUGGCGAAGGCAGCCCCUUGGGAAUGUACUGACGCUCAUGCGCGAAAGCGUGGGGAGCAAACAGG